GACGAACGCUGGCGGCGUGCUUAACACAUGCAAGUCGAACGGUAAAGCGCCUUCCUUUUUGGUUGGUGGGGUUGCGAGGGGGACGGUAGCGUAAGACGAGAGUAACCUGCCCCCUGCUUUUGGAUCACGGAAUGAAGGUGUAUCCAAUACGGGAGCUUCUGGUUCUUUGGCGGGGUUGGUCUGUGACAGCGGUUGUGGCGGGUGGCGAUGGUUUCGCGGUUUAUCGGCGGGUUGGUGGGGUGGUGGCUUACCAAGGCGGUGACGGGUAGCCGGCCUGAGAGGGUGACGGGCCACAUUGGACUGAGAUACGGCCCAGACUCCUACGGGAGGCAGCAGUGGGGAAUAUUGCACAAUGGGCGGAAGCCUGAUGCAGCAACGCCGCGUGCGGGAUGACGGCCUUCGGGUUGUAAACCGCUUUCGCCUGUGACGAAGCGUGAGUGACGGUAAUGGGUAAAGAAGCACCGGCUAACUACGUG
RNAcentral lists this ribosomal RNA (476 nucleotides) under uncultured bacterium. RNAcentral describes it as "partial 16S ribosomal RNA". It matches the Rfam family "Bacterial small subunit ribosomal RNA", at positions 28 to 507 of the family's 1533-position model. The record is from RNAcentral.